UGAGCAGAGAUGUGUGUGUACCUCUUUGACAGUGACAUUUUUACCUGACAACAGCCGUUUCUUUCUGCAAAGCAUUUUCCACCAAUCAGGACGCUACA
Etheostoma cragini (Arkansas darter) is the source of this 98-nucleotide long non-coding RNA. RefSeq lists it as uncharacterized. The transcript has 3 exons. Lineage: Eukaryota; Metazoa; Chordata; Actinopteri; Perciformes; Percidae. The record is from RefSeq and is a predicted model, not a curated record.